AGAGUUUGAUCAUGGCUCAGAGUGAACGCUGGCGGCGUGGAUUAGGCAUGCAAGUCGCGCGAUUCCGCAAGGAAUAGCGGCAAACGGGUUAGUAACACGUGAGUAAUUUUCCUUAAAGACAGGCAAAGCAUCCUGAAAAGGGUGGUAAUUCCUGAUGUUACAUUGAGCGCUCAUGCGCUUAAUGUUAAAGACCGGGACCGUAAGGCCGGUCGCUUUGAGAUGAGCUCGCGUCCUAUCAGCUAGUUGGUGAGGUAAUGGCUCACCAAGGCUUUUGACGGGUAGCUGGUCUGAGAGGACGAUCAGCAACACUGGGACUGAGACACUGCCCAGACUCCUACGGGAGGCUGCAGUCGAGAAUCUUUAGCAAUGGACGAAAGUCUGACUAUGCGACGCCGCGUGCAGGAUGAAGGUUUUCGGAUCGUAAACUGCUUUUAUCAGGGAAGAAAGAUUGCAAGUGAAUAACUUGCAAGCUGCCGGUACCUGAAGAAUAAGCCACGGCCAACUCCGUGCCAGCAGCCGCGGUAAUACGGAGGUGGCGAGCGUUACUCGGAAUUAUUGGGUGUAAAGGGCAAGUAGGCGGUCUAUUAAGUGAGGGGUGAAAUCUCCCGACUCAAUCGGGAAACUGCCUUUCAAACUGAUAGACUUGAGGCCGGGAGAGGGAAAUGGAAUUCGCGGUGUAAGGGUGAAAUCUGUAGAUAUCGCGAAGAACACCAGAGGCGAAGGCGAUUUCCUGGUCCGGAUCUGACGCUAAAUUGCGAAAGCUAGGGGAGCAAACAGAAUUAGAUACUCUGGUAGUCCUAGCUGUAAACGAUGAGCACUAGGUGUUGGCCCGCAAGGGUUAGCGCCGCAGCUAACGCAUUAAGUGCUCCACCUGGGAACUACGGCCGCAAGGUUAAAACUCAAAGGAAUUGACGG
RNAcentral lists this ribosomal RNA (915 nucleotides) under uncultured bacterium. RNAcentral's name for it is "bacterial SSU rRNA". It matches the Rfam family "Bacterial small subunit ribosomal RNA", at positions 8 to 916 of the family's 1533-position model. The record is from RNAcentral.